Non-coding RNA from Danio rerio (zebrafish), 237 nucleotides. The record is from RefSeq and is a predicted model, not a curated record. NCBI's taxonomy places the organism in Eukaryota, Metazoa, Chordata, Actinopteri, Cypriniformes, Danionidae.
UGAGUGAAUGACAUCAAGGAAACAGGAUCAAAAGAUCAUUCAUUAUAGACCGUUUCAUAGUUGGUUAUAUUUUUCAGGUCAUUCUGUUCUCCUGGUUGUGAGGAUGUGCAGAGGCUGUAUUUGUCAGUGUUAUAAGACUUGUGCAGCUGUAUCCAGACAUACAAGCAGCCAACAAAGAGUUCUGGAGCAGGACAGACAGGAGAGCACGGUGGUGCAGAGGGUAGCACGUUUUCCUCA